AACGCGUGAGAAUCUGCCUUCUGGUCUGGGACAACAGAGGGAAACUUCUGCUAAUCCCGGAUAAGCCUACGGGUGAAAGAUUAAUUGCCUGGAGAUGAGCUCGCGUCUGAUUAGCUAGUUGGUAAGGUAAAAGCUUACCAAGGCGACGAUCAGUAGCUGGUCUGAGAGGAUGAGCAGCCACACUGGGACUGAGACACGGCCCAGACUCCUACGGGAGGCAGCAGUGGGGAAUUUUCCGCAAUGGGCGCAAGCCUGACGGAGCAAGACCGCGUGGGGGAGGAAGGCUCUAGGGUUGUAAACCCCUUUUCUUUGGGAAGAAGUUCUGACGGUACCAAAGGAAUCAGCCUCGGCUAACUCCGUGCCAGCAGCCGCGGUAAUACGGAGGAGGCAAGCGUUAUCCGGAAUGAUUGGGCGUAAAGCGUCCGCAGGUGGCCAUGUAAGUCUGCUGUCAAAACCCAGGGCUUAACUCUGGUUAGGCAGUGGAAACUACAAAGCUAGAGUCUGGUAGGGGCCAAGGGAAUUCCCGGUGUAGCGGUGAAAUGCGUAGAGAUCGGGAAGAACAUCGGUGGCGAAAGCGCUUGGCUAGACCAGAACUGACACUCAGGGACGAAAGCUAGGGGAGCGAAUGGGA
This 631-nucleotide ribosomal RNA is filed under the name Oscillatoria sp. B2A. RNAcentral's name for it is "bacterial SSU rRNA". It matches the Rfam family "Bacterial small subunit ribosomal RNA", at positions 112 to 777 of the family's 1533-position model. Lineage: Bacteria; Bacillati; Cyanobacteriota; Cyanophyceae; Oscillatoriales; Oscillatoriaceae. The record is from RNAcentral.